GAUGAACGCUGGCGGCGUGCUUAACACAUGCAAGUCGAACGGUAAGGCCCUUCGGGGUACACGAGUGGCGAACGGGUGAGUAACACGUGGGUGAUCUGCCCUGCACUUCGGGAUAAGCCUGGGAAACUGGGUCUAAUACCGGGUAGGACCACUGCCUGCAUGGGUGGUGGUGGAAAGCUUUUGCGGUGUGGGAUGGGCCCGCGGCCUAUCAGCUUGUUGGUGGGGUGAUGGCCUACCAAGGCGACGACGGGUAGCCGGCCUGAGAGGGUGACCGGCCACACUGGGACUGAGAUACGGCCCAGACUCCUACGGGAGGCAGCAGUGGGGAAUAUUGCACAAUGGGCGCAAGCCUGAUGCAGCGACGCCGCGUGAGGAAUGACGGCCUUCGGGUUGUAAACCUCUUUCAGCACCGACGAAGCGCAAGUGACGGUAGGUGCAGAAGAAGGACCGGCCAACUACGUGCCAGCCGCCGCGGUAA
RNAcentral lists this ribosomal RNA (478 nucleotides) under uncultured bacterium. RNAcentral's name for it is "partial 16S ribosomal RNA". It matches the Rfam family "Bacterial small subunit ribosomal RNA", at positions 28 to 523 of the family's 1533-position model. The record is from RNAcentral.